CUACGUGCCAGCAGCCGCGGUAAUACGGAAGGUUCGGGCGUUAUCCGGAUUUAUUGGGUUUAAAGGGAGCGUAGGCYGGAGAUUAAGUGUGUUGUGAAAUGUAGACGCUCAACGUCUGACUUGCAGCGCAUACUGGUUUCCUUGAGUACGCACAACGUUGGCGGAAUUCGUUAACUCCGAUUGCGAAGGCAGCUGACGGGAGUGCGACUGACGCUGAAGCUCGAAGGUGCGGGUAUCGAACAGGAUUAGAUACCCUGGUAGUCCGCACAGUAAACGAUGGAUGCCCGCUGUUGGUACCURGUAUCAGCGGCUAAGCGAAAGCAUUAAGCAUCCCACCUGGGGAGUACGCCGGCAACGGUGAAACUCAAAGGAAUUGACGGGGGCCCGCACAAGCGGAGGAACAUGUGGUUUAAUUCGAUGAUACGCGAGGAACCUUACCCGGGCUKAA
This 448-nucleotide ribosomal RNA is filed under the name uncultured bacterium. RNAcentral's name for it is "bacterial SSU rRNA". It matches the Rfam family "Bacterial small subunit ribosomal RNA", at positions 501 to 984 of the family's 1533-position model. The record is from RNAcentral.